AGUAAAGUGGCCGAAUAUAGGUAAAAGUUUGUAGCUCUUUUUAUGGUUUAACCCUUUACUA
This 61-nucleotide transfer RNA is filed under the name Eusyllis blomstrandi. RNAcentral describes it as "tRNA-Tyr". The record is from RNAcentral. Lineage: Eukaryota; Metazoa; Annelida; Polychaeta; Phyllodocida; Syllidae.